AUUGAACGCUGGCGGCAGGCCUAACACAUGCAAGUCGAACGGUAACAGGAAGCAGCUUGCUGCUUUGCUGACGAGUGGCGGACGGGUGAGUAAUGUCUGGGAAACUGCCCGAUGGAGGGGGAUAACUACUGGAAACGGUAGCUAAUACCGCAUAACGUCGCAAGACCAAAGAGGGGGACCUUAGGGCCUCUUGCCAUCGGAUGUGCCCAGAUGGAAUUAGCUAGUAGGUGGGGUAACGGCUCACCUAGGCGACGAUCCCUAGCUGGUCUGAGAGGAUGACCAGCCACACUGGAACUGAGACACGGUCCAGACUCCUACGGGAGGCAGCAGUGGGGAAUAUUGCACAAUGGGCGCAAGCCUGAUGCAGCCAUGCCGCGUGUAUGAAGAAGGCCUUCGGGUUGUAAAGUACUUUCAGCGGGGAGGAAGGGAGUAAAGUUAAUACCUUUGCUCAUUGACGUUACCCGCAGAAGAAGCACCGGCUAACUCCGUG
Molecule: ribosomal RNA, 490 nt
Filed under: uncultured bacterium
Lineage: Bacteria
Description: partial 16S ribosomal RNA
Rfam family: Bacterial small subunit ribosomal RNA
Source: RNAcentral